This 64-nucleotide transfer RNA is filed under the name Siphonaria pectinata. RNAcentral's name for it is "tRNA-Ile". Lineage: Eukaryota; Metazoa; Mollusca; Gastropoda; Siphonariida; Siphonariidae. The record is from RNAcentral.
UGGUAGCCGCCGGAAGAACGGAUAUUAUUGAUGUUAAUAAGCAUGGGUAUAAACCCGCUACCAU